RNAcentral lists this ribosomal RNA (253 nucleotides) under uncultured bacterium. Its description in RNAcentral is "partial 16S ribosomal RNA". It matches the Rfam family "Bacterial small subunit ribosomal RNA", at positions 524 to 776 of the family's 1533-position model. The record is from RNAcentral.
UACAGAGGUGGCAAGCGUUGUUCGGAAUUACUGGGCGUAAAGGGCGCGUAGGCGGUUCGUUAAGUCCUGUGUGAAAUCCCACGGCUCAACCGUGGAACGGCUGGGUAUACUGGCGGUCUUGGGCCAUUCAGGGGCGACUGGAACAAGCGGUGGAGCGGUGAAAUGCGUAGAUAUCGCUUGGAACGCCGAAGGUGAAAACAGGUCGCUGGGGAUGUGCCGACGCUGAGACACGAAAGCCAGGGGAGCAAACGGG